This 255-nucleotide long non-coding RNA is filed under the name Elaeis guineensis (African oil palm). RNAcentral's name for it is "long non-coding RNA (EGUI_LNC017497)". Lineage: Eukaryota; Viridiplantae; Streptophyta; Magnoliopsida; Arecales; Arecaceae. The record is from RNAcentral.
UCUAGUGAUUCUCUACAAAUAUUUUGUUUGAUGUUUGUUUGGAUUUUAGGCCGGCACGAUCAAUCUGCUCCAUGUAGCAAGCUAUUCUACAUGAUAUUAGAGCUACCUCGAGGUUCUGAAGAUUGAUGAUCCAUGUAUUUAUGAUUUUAUAUGAUAUCAGAACUAUAGAUUUUAAGAUUGGUGGCUUGUGUGUUUGUAGCUCUAUAUUGUAUUAGAGCCAUAGGUUUAAAGAGUGAUCGAGUGAUUUACGACUUC